RNAcentral lists this long non-coding RNA (2539 nucleotides) under Panax ginseng (ginseng). RNAcentral describes it as "long non-coding RNA (PGIN_LNC018117)". Lineage: Eukaryota; Viridiplantae; Streptophyta; Magnoliopsida; Apiales; Araliaceae. The record is from RNAcentral.
AGUUGCACUAUUUUCAUUAUAGGUUAACCAACAAUGAAAACAAAACAUCAAAAAAUUCAGCCUGCUAUAAACAUGCGCGCGCGCGCGCGCACAUAGUGAGAGAAGAAAAAGAAUUUUCUUUUUGGUGGGAUGUCUUCUUUUUGUUGGUGAUGAUGGUGGGCAGGAGUACUAAUGGUGAUGGGUCACUGUUAUGGAUAGGAAAAAGAAGGAUGAGGAAUAAAAAUUGUGACAGGACGGUGGUGGUGCUAUGGUAGAUAUUGAUCGAUGGAGGCAAGCUAAUUUAAUUGAAAAUAUUUUCAAUAAUUUGUUCAAUAUUCAAUUCAAUAAACUAAUCGUUGGUUUGUGUCUGUGUUUGCAUUUGAUUAUUAAUUUUGAUCUCAUUUUGCAUUUGAUUGUUCUCGAUGAAAUGAGAGAGAGAGAGAAAAAAAAAGUGUUCUUAGGCUAUCAUAUGAUUUGACCAUUUUACCUUUGCACAUUUAAUAAAUGUAAAAAAUUCAUUUAAAAUAAUAUUUAAACCUUAACUAGAAAAUCAUUUUUUUAUUAGUUACAAAAAUAAGAAUUUUUUUUAUUUUUUCCAUGUUUUUUUCUUAAACUUUUUGAUUUUAUUUUAUUUUAUAAAAAAUUAUUUCAUAUUCCCCUUAAUUUUCUUUCAUUUCCACUCAAGAGUAUACAUCAUACAUGAGAGUUACAUAUCAAUUUUCUAUUUUUUAUGUGGAAUCAGAUGUGGCGAACCGUUUAAAGUCAACCUUAUUUAACAGAUUUUCAAAUGUUUUGAAAGUAAAUUAAAGUUUAUUUAGUUGACUAUAAAAAAAAUAUAAUUAUGCAUUUGUAAAUUGACCUAAAGUAUAGUGAGUUAAAAAUUAUUUAACCCCAAAUAAUACUUAUGGGGUUAAUAUUUUAAUUUAUUAUGGUUUGUACAAUGUAAUUGGUUUAAUAUGCUGAGAAAUAUAAAAUAUUUUGUUUUUUUCUUUUAGAGGGAGGAGGAGCCGAGGAGGCAAAACUUUUGGAAGAUAUAUGUGUUAUUUAGUUCAGUUUUUGUUGGGUGAACUUUGAUAUUCCACAUUUCCACUUAUUUUUGGAACAAUUUGGUUAAAGCUUUCUUUUCUAUAUCCAAUAUGAUCAAAUGUAUUAUAUACAUGAAUUCCUUAUAUUGUUAUGUUUUAAUUUAUUAAACUAUGUUUCUUAGAUCUCUCUUGUAAUUGUUUUACUUAUAGUUCUAGAAUUAGUGAUCCUAUUUAGGUUCUAUUUUAUUCUUUUAAAUAAUAAUACUCAAUACCUUUGUUUCUAGGGAAUUAUAUAUGAGGUAGUUGAAAUAAAAGUAUAUAUUAUCUUAAUGUUCAAGUCAUUAUUUAAUUGGUGGACUGUACAAUACUUGGAGAGGUUAGGAUAUUAUAUUUCUAGUCCAUAGUUUAAAUAUAGAACAAAAAAUAAGAUUAACUAUUGCAUUAUUGAUGCAAGAAUUACAAGUUAGUAGCCAAACAAACUCGACUACUUUUAAAAAAUUUGGUUGAACGGAAUAAACGUUAUUCAGUUGUUUAUAAAGAUUGACUUGCUAUUUUUAAAUACUAGUUAAGUUUCACUAAUCAGUGCAAACUCACAGGUAGCCUGAUUCUUGUAUUUUUCCCUCGAGUCCCAUUAGUUAUCAUCAUGCCACUAACUUGAGGUGAAAUCUCCAACCAAGUUUUAAGUAUGCCAAAUCUCCUUUGAACAUGCAUAGAAGUCGCCAAGGUCGAACUAAAUAAGUUCAACUGGUUUUCUUCAAGCUUGAUUCAAAUGGGUCAACACUCAUUCCUACGACACAAACCAAAAUCAACCUCUUAAUUGAGCUACCUUGACAUUUGUCUUGAAUAGAAAUUCAGCAAUUACUAGCAGGCCAAAUUUAGCAUUUGCAUCACAUGAAUCUCACUAGAUUUUUAUCAUAUCUCAUGACAUUUAUACUUUGUUCAUAGGAGCUUCUCUUAACUCCUAUGUUAAAGUUCCUAAUAGCUUAAAGGUAUCUUUGAUACCAACUCAGGGUAAUGCCAAAUAUAUGAAUUCAAAACUAUAAUGCACCAUAAGAGCUUUAUGAAAUUUUAAAAAGAAAAAAUACACAAAAUUGAUGAUACAAUUCAUGAUUCCAGUUAGCGAAAACAAAUUAAACUCAUCCAAGAGUAUGAUUAACCCUGAGAUGCUAAGUGGAUGAGAUUGUUAAACAGAGCAAAAUCAACUGUUGUAUUCUUAUUAUUUUUUAUUAUUGCUUCUAUUCAUAUAUAUGUUGCAGAGAAGAAUUGCUACUCACUUUAUUAAUUUUUUGUGUUAUUUCAUUCUUUAAAUCCAUUGUGUUCUUAACUGUUGUAGGUGGUUGAGGAAAAACGAAGCCUAGAUUUUGUUUCCAUUUUCAGCCACAUAAGGAAGAUGUUUCUUGGGUUGUUAAUGAGACUUGUAUGUCAUCCAAGGCUAUGUCAUUGCUUGAAGAAUCUGAGUCCAUUGAGCAUAGAAUAGUAGAACAACUCUUGCAAAUACCGUUGGAAAUAAAGAGAGGGGGAUGUGUAUGUACGAG